Molecule: ribosomal RNA, 564 nt
Filed under: uncultured archaeon
Lineage: Archaea
Description: bacterial SSU rRNA
Rfam family: Archaeal small subunit ribosomal RNA
Source: RNAcentral
AAUUCGCCCUUCGGGGUGCACCAGGCGCGAAAACUUUACAAUGCGGGAAACCGUGAUAAGGGGACACCGAGUGCCAGCAUCAUAUGCUGGCUGUCCAGGUGUGCAAAAUACACCUGUUAGCAAGGGCCGGGCAAGACCGGUGCCAGCCGCCGCGGUAACACCGGCGGCCCGAGUGGUGAUCGUGAUUAUUGGGUCUAAAGGGCCCGUAGCCGGUUUGGUCAGUCCUCCGGGAAAUCUGACAGCUUAACUGUUAGGCUUUCGGAGGAUACUGCCAGACUUGGAACCGGGAGAGGUAAGAGGUACUACAGGGGUAGGAGUGAAAUCUUGUAAUCCCUGUGGGACCACCUGUGGCGAAGGCGUCUUACCAGAACGGGUUCGACGGUGAGGGACGAAAGCUGGGGGCACGAACCGGAUUAGAUACCCGGGUAGUCCCAGCCGUAAACGAUGCUCGCUAGGUGUCAGGCAUGGCGCGACCGUGUCUGGUGCCGCAGGGAAGCCGUGAAGCGAGCCACCUGGGAAGUACGGCCGCAAGGCUGAAACUUAAAGGAAUUGGCGGGGGAGCAC